RNAcentral lists this ribosomal RNA (724 nucleotides) under Vibrio harveyi. RNAcentral describes it as "bacterial SSU rRNA". It matches the Rfam family "Bacterial small subunit ribosomal RNA", at positions 79 to 798 of the family's 1533-position model. Lineage: Bacteria; Pseudomonadati; Pseudomonadota; Gammaproteobacteria; Vibrionales; Vibrionaceae. The record is from RNAcentral.
ACGAUAACGGCGUCGAGCGGCGGACGGGUGAGUAAUGCCUAGGAAAUUGCCCUGAUGUGGGGGAUAACCAUUGGAAACGAUGGCUAAUACCGCAUAAUACCUACGGGUCAAAGAGGGGGACCUUCGGGCCUCUCGCGUCAGGAUAUGCCUAGGUGGGAUUAGCUAGUUGGUGAGGUAAUGGCUCACCAAGGCGACGAUCCCUAGCUGGUCUGAGAGGAUGAUCAGCCACACUGGAACUGAGACACGGUCCAGACUCCUACGGGAGGCAGCAGUGGGGAAUAUUGCACAAUGGGCGCAAGCCUGAUGCAGCCAUGCCGCGUGUGUGAAGAAGGCCUUCGGGUUGUAAAGCACUUUCAGUCGUGAGGAAGGUAGUGUAGUUAAUAGCUGCAUUAUUUGACGUUAGCGACAGAAGAAGCACCGGCUAACUCCGUGCCAGCAGCCGCGGUAAUACGGAGGGUGCGAGCGUUAAUCGGAAUUACUGGGCGUAAAGCGCAUGCAGGUGGUUUGUUAAGUCAGAUGUGAAAGCCCGGGGCUCAACCUCGGAAUAGCAUUUGAAACUGGCAGACUAGAGUACUGUAGAGGGGGGUAGAAUUUCAGGUGUAGCGGUGAAAUGCGUAGAGAUCUGAAGGAAUACCGGUGGCGAAGGCGGCCCCCUGGACAGAUACUGACACUCAGAUGCGAAAGCGUGGGGGAGCAAACAGGAUUAGAUACCCUGGUAGUCCAC